This 440-nucleotide ribosomal RNA is filed under the name uncultured bacterium. RNAcentral describes it as "partial 16S ribosomal RNA". It matches the Rfam family "Bacterial small subunit ribosomal RNA", at positions 338 to 795 of the family's 1533-position model. The record is from RNAcentral.
CCUACGGGAGGCAGCAGUGGGGAAUAUUGCACAAUGGGGGAAACCCUGAUGCAGCGACGCCGCGUGAGUGAAGAAGUAUUUCGGUAUGUAAAGCUCUAUCAGCAAGGAAGAAACUGACGGUACCUGAUUAAGAAGCCCCGGCUAACUACGUGCCAGCAGCCGCGGUCAUACGUAGGGGGCAAGCGGUAUCCGGAUUUACUGGGUGUAAAGGGAGCGUAGACGGCAGCACAAGUCUGGUGUGAAAUGCCGGGGCUUAACCCCGGAACUGCUUUGGAAACUGUGCAGCUAGAGUGCAGGAGAGGUAAGUGGAAUGCCUAGUGUAGCGGUGAAAUGCGUAGAUAUUAGGAGGAACACCAGUGGCGAAGGCGGCUUACUGGACUGUAACUGACGUUGAGGCUCGAAAGCGUGGGGAGCAAACAGGAUUAGAUACCCGGGUAGUC